Molecule: long non-coding RNA, 446 nt
Filed under: Homo sapiens (human)
Lineage: Eukaryota; Metazoa; Chordata; Mammalia; Primates; Hominidae
Description: non-protein coding lnc-FAM118B-3:1
Source: RNAcentral
AGGAGCCUCUGAGCAGAGAGGGUUCUAGGAAGAGCUUGGCCAUCAUGCCAGACAGAGAUGAUUGCACUAAUAAGGAGAGAGGUGGCCGGCCAGAGCCCUCCUUUGGCCCCAAGCCUCCAGUUAAUGAGCGCCAUUCCUGCCUCCGUCUCUGUGAAGGGCGUCCCGGGCUGGGACUGGGUGAGGUGAAGGAGGUUCCUCACUUCCCUGACCAAGGCCCUGCCCGUAGCUCUCACCACCCUCUCCUCGCCUCUGCCCAUCCCUCCUUGCCCUCCCACACAGGUCUUGUGGGGGCUCAGGCACCCUCAUCAGCACCCCUGCAUCAUGGGGCCGCUGCUGGGCCUCCCCUAAGAGGGGCUCUCCCCAGUGAAAAGGAGGCUGAAGAGAGGAUGGCGCCGAAGCUGCCACCCAGAGGAGAGAAGGGACAUUAACACAGAAGGAGAGACUGG